AUCAACAACCAAUCAAAACCCUUAACUACUACUGAAUGACUUCAUAAUUAUAUGAAAGACCUCAUGCUAAAACUAGUAACAAGAAGCUAACCCUUCUCCUAAUUGCAAGUGUAAGUCGACAUGGAUCCCCCGUCGACAAUUACCGUCUAUGAAACCACUAUAGUAACUCCACCAAGAAAACUCUAUUACCACAUGUGAGCACAAUCACUUGAAUAAUAACGUUAACCUUACACCAGAGCAACCUAGGAAAGAUUAAAAGAAGAGGAAGGAACUCGGCAAACAACUAACCCCGCCUGUUUACCAAAAACAUCGCCUCCUGUCAAGUAAUAGGAGGUCCCGCCUGCCCAGUGACUAUACGUUCAACGGCCGCGGUACCCUAACCGCGCGAAGGUAGCGCAAUCACUUGUCCUUUAAAUGUGGACUAGUAUGAACGGCAUAACGAGGGUUAUACUGUCUCCCUCUUCCAAUCAGUGAAACUGAUCUCCCCGUGAAGAAGCGGGGAUAACAUUAUAAGACGAGAAGACCCCAUGGAGCUUUAAACCCAAAGUCAACUGCUGCCGCAUAUAUCCCCAAAGCUAUAGCAGAUUUCUGUCACUUUGGUUUUCGGUUGGGGUGACCGCGGAGCAAAAUAAAACCUCCACGAUGAACGGAACUAACUCCUAAUCCAAGAGCUACAACUCAAAGAAUCAAAACUUUGACAUAAAUUGAUCCAAAUAAUUUGAUCAACGAACCAAGUUACCCUGGGGAUAACAGCGCAAUCCAUUUUUAGAGCUCCUAUCGACAAAUGGGUUUACGACCUCGAUGUUGGAUCAGGGUAUCCCAGUGGUGUAGCCGCUACUAAAGGUUC
RNAcentral lists this ribosomal RNA (847 nucleotides) under Dyscophus guineti (Sambava tomato frog). Its description in RNAcentral is "partial 16S rRNA". It matches the Rfam family "Bacterial large subunit ribosomal RNA", at positions 1407 to 2574 of the family's 2925-position model. The record is from RNAcentral. Lineage: Eukaryota; Metazoa; Chordata; Amphibia; Anura; Microhylidae.